This 253-nucleotide ribosomal RNA is filed under the name uncultured bacterium. Its description in RNAcentral is "partial 16S ribosomal RNA". It matches the Rfam family "Bacterial small subunit ribosomal RNA", at positions 524 to 776 of the family's 1533-position model. The record is from RNAcentral.
UACGAAGGGUGCAAACGUUGCUCGGAAUUAUUGGGCGUAAAGCGCACGUAGGCGGCUUUGCAAGUCGGAUGUGAAAUCCCUCGGCUCAACCAAGGAAGUGCAUCCGAAACUGCAGAGCUUGAGUACUUAAGAGGAUCGCGGAAUUCCCGGUGUAGAGGUGAAAUUCGUAGAUAUCGGGAGGAACACCAGUGGCGAAGGCGGCGAUCUGGGAAGAUACUGACGCUGAGGAGCGAAAGCGUGGGGAGCGAACAGG